This 253-nucleotide ribosomal RNA is filed under the name uncultured bacterium. Its description in RNAcentral is "partial 16S ribosomal RNA". It matches the Rfam family "Bacterial small subunit ribosomal RNA", at positions 524 to 776 of the family's 1533-position model. The record is from RNAcentral.
UACAGAGGUCUCAAGCGUUGUUCGGAUUCAUUGGGCGUAAAGAGCUCGUAGGCGGCUGUUCAAGUUGAACGUGAAAACUCGGAGCUCAACUCCGAGCCUGCGUUCGAUACUGGACGGCUAGAGUCUGGUAGGGGGAUCUGGAAUUCCUGGUGUAGCGGUGGAAUGCGCAGAUAUCAGGAGGAACACCGGUGGCGAGGGCGGGAUCCUGGGCCAGUACUGACGCUGAGGAGCGAAAGCGUGGGGAGCAAACAGG